Molecule: long non-coding RNA, 997 nt
Filed under: Mus musculus (house mouse)
Lineage: Eukaryota; Metazoa; Chordata; Mammalia; Rodentia; Muridae
Description: long non-coding RNA chr17:8343086-8344083
Source: RNAcentral
UUCCCAUUAACUGGAGGAUGAUUCUUUUGUAUUUCUUCUGUGCCUGAGUGGAUUUAACCCCAAGGAUAAGAAGGAAGUGUUUGUUCUAAUCAGAUAAGGUUGCCUGUAGAAACGUAAUGCAUUACCUCAAUAUUUUUUUAACUUAUCGUAUGCAAGUCAAUAACCAGUUUAAUGUUUGUCUUGUUAGACUUUAAUGUGUCAAUUCUCGAUUGUAUUUUAAAUCAAAGCCUUACAUUUUUAAAAGACCAAUUAUAUUUUUUCCUUGUAGAGAUCUUUGCGCUCUCUCUCUCUCUCUCUCUCUCUGUCUCCAUCUCUCCUCUCCAUCCUUCUUGGUGCAAGCUUUGCCAACCAAGAGGCCUUACAGAGGGAGCUACAUUAGACACCAGAUGAGUUAAAAAAAAAAAAAAAAGCUACUUAUUGAUUUUAAAUGGUUAAUGCCAAAGGGGCAAAGUUAGCAACACUGGUGGGGGAGGGGUGGAAGGGCUGUUCCUCUAGGCAAGUUGGGUGGUGAGGGCACUGCCUCUGCCCUCCAGCCUGGCACAGCACGGCUUUAUCCCGUCUGCACUCAGCGCAAAUGCCAGUACUUCACGUGCUUGGCUUCCUGCCCCCAGCAGCCCUAACAACACCAGAAAGCGUUCCUGGUACCUCCUAAAGGAGUGGCCUCUAGGGAGAUCUUCCUUCCCCUUUGGCCAUCAUGGAGGUCUGCGGACCACCCUGUCCAUCCCUGUCUGUCUGCUUUGGUUUUCCCUCCCCACUGCUCCCUCUCACUUUUUAACUGGCCUCAGAGCAAAGCUCAACGUUCUCUCUGGCUGGUGAUCAAAGGGGCCCCGUGUGCCUGCCUGGCUCUUCACUUCAGAGAUGGGGGCAUGUUUGUGUUGGGCGGCCGAUGACUCUCUGUAAGGAAAGGAAGGCCUGCACGUGACUUGCGGGGUCUCUACCUCGUUGCUGACAUUCUGAGGACAUUUUCUAGUCACUGUGCUACAAUUUCUUAAGGUUU